GAUGAACGCUGGCGGCGUGCCUAAUACAUGCAAGUCGAACGCUGGAAAUCAAGCUUGCUAGAUUGAAGGAGUGGCGAACGGGUGAGUAAUACAUAAGCAACCUACCCACGAAGACUGGGAUAAUCUCUGGAAACGGGGACUAAUACCGGAUAGGUAAUCGGAAGGCAUCUUCUGAUUAUUAAAGGUUAAAAACACUGGUGGAUGGGCUUAUGGCGCAUUAGUUAGUUGGUGAGGUAACGGCCCACCAAGACGAUGAUGCGUAGCCGGCCUGAGAGGGUGAACGGCCACAUUGGGACUGAGACACGGCCCAGACUCCUACGGGAGGCAGCAGUAGGGAAUUUUCGGCAAUGGGGGAAACCCUGACCGAGCAACGCCGCGUGAGUGAGGACGGCCUUCGGGUUGUAAAGCUCUGUUGUAAGGGAAGAACGGUAGAUAGAGAAUAUCUAAAUGACGGUACCUUACCAGAAAGCCACGGCUAACUACGUG
RNAcentral lists this ribosomal RNA (486 nucleotides) under uncultured bacterium. RNAcentral describes it as "partial 16S ribosomal RNA". It matches the Rfam family "Bacterial small subunit ribosomal RNA", at positions 28 to 507 of the family's 1533-position model. The record is from RNAcentral.